This is a long non-coding RNA of Daphnia pulicaria, 227 nucleotides long. RefSeq lists it as uncharacterized. The record is from RefSeq and is a predicted model, not a curated record. Lineage: Eukaryota; Metazoa; Arthropoda; Branchiopoda; Diplostraca; Daphniidae. The transcript is spliced from 3 exons.
CGCCGCCACUCAUGGCGAUGCAAUACCAAUCCUGAUUUUUUGAAUAAAAAAGAAACAAAGUUCAAUUAUCGUUGAAAGCAAGGAUGGCGACGGAUUGCUGCUGAUCCGGACCGAGUGAACCACGAAAAAGGAAGUCAGGAGUGGCAAAGGUAGCAUGGCAUAAGCUGCGAAUAUGAUGAAAAGGAUGUACCAGACCAUAUGCGUCGUGAGUUCGGAGCUUUGGAUUC